Molecule: non-coding RNA, 2325 nt
Organism: Chlorocebus sabaeus (green monkey)
Lineage: Eukaryota; Metazoa; Chordata; Mammalia; Primates; Cercopithecidae
Source: RefSeq, a predicted model, not a curated record
CUCAGGCUCAAAAAAAAAAAAAGGGCUGAACUUCGUGAGGAUGAGAGAAGGAACCUUUGUCUCUGCUCACCGAAUAGGACAAUUCUAUGUGCGACCACCAGGGGGCGCGCUGGGGCAGCCUCGGGAGGCUGGGAAGUACCAGUGCCUGACCUGCCAAAGCCUUUCUUCCUCCUCCCUCCCUUUCUUCCUUCCUUUUUUCCUUCCUUCCUUCUCUCUUUCUUUUUUCCUUCCUUCUUUCUUUUUCUCUCUCAUUUCUUUCUUUUAUCUUUCUUUGUUCUCUUCCCCUUUUUCCUUUCCCAACUUUAAAAGUCUUUAUUAUGUUAAAUUUCAAACAUAGGCAAAAGAAGAUAACAUAGUAUAGCAAAGCCCCACUUGGCUAAGCUUUUGAGCUGUAUUUCCUCCAUUUCCUUCCAUUUAAACUGGCUCUUCCUGGUCCCCAUAUACCUCCCGUCCAGGCUUUUGUUUCCAGUACAGCAGGGGACAUCCUGCCAAGUUUUCUUGGGGAGAGGAGUCCAGGCUGUGAGUGGCCUCGUGAGACAGACGUGAGAGGGGGAAAUGCGGCCCGGGAGAGUUUUGAGGGACUGGGGGACACAGCAGAGGUCCCUGCAGCGGCGCCGGGGCAGCUCUCCAGAACUCCAACGGUCCUCCUAAGGCCUGGUCAGCGGGGAUUUGAGUGGCCUUCUGCUCGCAAACUUGCGUUUCAGAUCAGGCGUGAAGACGAUCCGCCGGACCCUGAUUGAAGCAGGGAGGGAUAAUUACUUGACGAAGGGACAAAGGCAGGCAGAACCAGAGAGACUGGCGGAGACACAGGGAGCCGAGGAGCAGCGGCGAUUGCCACGUGGAGGAGGGAGACUUCCUGGCAACUGGGCGGUGAGCCCCGUGCGACCUUCAGCUAGAGGGCAUGCCUCUCCUUCCUCCCCGCGCUGAAACAGAAUGGCUGAAAGGCGCUGCGUGGGGACGGGGGAAUGGAUUAUUGUGUCUGACGUCCUGUCCCAUCCAGAAAGCCCACAGCAUCACUGUUAGGUGGUCAGGAAAACGACGGAAUCUUCCCCGCCUUCAAAUCCCACAUGCUACCGUAUCCUCCCCAGCAACUCCACUCGCCCCCUGUGACAUUUCCCCUGUCCCUCCAACAAAAGCUGCCCUGGGCUCGUCCUUGUUCCCACGUGGCUUCGUCUGUCGGAGCAUCCAUUCCUGUUGGCCCCUUGCCCAGCUCUGCGUCGAAAGGUAUUGCGUGCAUCCCAGUCCCUCUGCACCUGGACCCUGCGGGAUCGAGGCUGCGCCCAGAUGUGAUGUGCAGAUAGCUGCAUGAAGAUGACACAGGCUGCUUAUUGAGAGGACAGAUUCUGGGGCCCCAUGGCAGACUCGUUGGAUUAAAAUCCCUGGUUAAUGGGCCAGGACUCUGGUCUCAGAGGACUCUUAGUGCCCCAGCCUUUGAGAUUGGCAGCGAACGGGAACAGCAUAGACAAGUGGAAGAGGCUGAGCUCUGCCGCCUUGUGAUGCAAAGAGAAUUUAUCAUCUACAGUUAAGAAUUGUGGGCCAGGCACCACGGCUCACACCUGUAAUUCCAGCAUUUCGGGAGGCCGAGGUGGGAGGAUUGUUUAAGGCCAGGAGUUGAAGACCAGCCUGGGCAACAUAGCAAGAGAAAAAAAUAAAAAAAUAAAAAAUAAAUAAAUAAAUAAAAGAAUUGUGUCAGACUCCUGAUGAAAUGAGAAGCUAUAAAAGAUUGUGUCUUAUACGGUUGUGCUGAGGCGGGGGGCCAUAUGAACCGGCCGGCACUGAGAUCUACAUGCCUAGUUCUACUUCCCACCGCAUCGCUUUUUUUUAUAUAUAUAUGUAAUUGUUUUUGGAGCAGCUUUAGGUUCACAGCAAGAUGGAGAGAAAGUACGGAGAUUUCCCAUCCACCCACUGCCCCACAUAUACACAGCCUCCUCCAUUAUCCACAUCUCCCACCAGUGUGGUCCAUUUGUUACAGCCAUGAACCUGCAUUGACACAUCGUAAUGACCCUUGGUUCACUCUUGGUGUUGUAUGUUCUAUGAGUUUUGACAAAUGCAUUAUUUGCAGCGUUGUAGUGUCACAGAGAAUAGUUUUACUGUCUUUAACCACCCCCAUGCUCUGCCUGUUCAUCCCUCCCUGCUCCUCAAUCCUUGGCACCUACUGAUCGAUUCCUGUCUUCCUAGAUUUGCCUUGUCCAGAAUGUCAUAUGUAGUCAGUCCUGUAGCCCUGAGCCCCACCACUGUGGAUUCAACCAACUUCACAUUGAAAACACUGGGAAAAAAUUGGCAUCUGUACUGAACAUGUUUGGGUAUUUUUUCCUUGUCAUUAUU